GAUGAACGCUAGCUCCAGGCUUAACACAUGCAAGUCGAGGGGCAGCGGGAUUGAAGCUUGCUUCAAUUGCCGGCGACCGGCGCACGGGUGAGUAACGCGUAUCCAACCUUCCGUACACUCAGGGAUAGCCUUUCGAAAGAAAGAUUAAUACCUGAUGGUAUGAUGAGAUUGCAUGAUAUCAUCAUUAAAGAUUUAUCGGUGUACGAUGGGGAUGCGUUCCAUUAGGUAGUAGGCGGGGUAACGGCCCACCUAGCCAACGAUGGAUAGGGGUUCUGAGAGGAAGGUCCCCCACAUUGGAACUGAGACACGGUCCAAACUCCUACGGGAGGCAGCAGUGAGGAAUAUUGGUCAAUGGACGAGAGUCUGAACCGGCCAAGUAGCGUGAAGGAUGAAGGUCCUACGGAUUGUAAACUUCUUUUAUAAGGGAAUAAACCCUCCCACGUGUGGGAGCUUGUAUGUACCUUAUGAAUAAGCAUCGGCUAACUCCGUG
RNAcentral lists this ribosomal RNA (490 nucleotides) under uncultured bacterium. RNAcentral's name for it is "partial 16S ribosomal RNA". It matches the Rfam family "Bacterial small subunit ribosomal RNA", at positions 28 to 507 of the family's 1533-position model. The record is from RNAcentral.